CUGCUUCACCAGCCAGGACUAGUCAGCAACAGUACAGAAAAGAUAGCGUGGCCCCUACACAAGAAUGAUGAGAAAAUCCGUGAAGCAUUCCAUGUCUUA
RNAcentral lists this small nuclear RNA (99 nucleotides) under Meriones unguiculatus (Mongolian gerbil). The record is from RNAcentral. Lineage: Eukaryota; Metazoa; Chordata; Mammalia; Rodentia; Muridae.